This 484-nucleotide ribosomal RNA is filed under the name uncultured bacterium. RNAcentral describes it as "partial 16S ribosomal RNA". It matches the Rfam family "Bacterial small subunit ribosomal RNA", at positions 29 to 507 of the family's 1533-position model. The record is from RNAcentral.
AUUGAACGCUGGCGGCAUGCUUUACACAUGCAAGUCGAACGGCAGCGCGGGCUUCGGCCUGGCGGCGAGUGGCGAACGGGUGAGUAAUGCAUCGGAACGUGCCCAGUAGUGGGGGAUAGCCCGGCGAAAGCCGGAUUAAUACCGCAUACGACCUGAGGGUGAAAGCGGGGGACCGAAAGGCCUCGCGCUAUUGGAGCGGCCGAUGUCGGAUUAGCUAGUUGGUGGGGUAAAGGCUUACCAAGGCGACGAUCCGUAGCUAGUCUGAGAGGACGACCAGCCACACUGGGACAGAGACACGGCCCAGACUCCUACGGGAGGCAGCAGUGGGGAAUUUUAGACAAUGGGGGCAACCCUGAUCCAGCCAUGCCGCGUGCGGGAAGAAGGCCUUCGGGUUGUAAACCGCUUUUGUUCGGGAAGAAAUCCUCUGGGCUAAUACCCCGGGGGGAUGACGGUACCGGAAGAAUAAGCACCGGCUAACUACGUG